GUAUGGCAGGAAAUCAUUCGUAACAAGUACGUGGGAUCCAAAGCCGUUUCUCAAGUCUAUUGGAAACCUGGUGACUCACAUUUUUGGUCUGGUGUCAUGAAGGCCAAGGAAUUCAUUUUCCAAUUUGGAACUUUCUCGGUUAGGGACGGUUCCCAGGUUUGAUUCUGGGAAGACACCUGGCUAGUGACCACACCACUAAUGGUGCAAUACCCGAGCUUGUAUAGGAUUGUUAGACAUAAAUUUUUCACCAUCAAACAAGUUUUGGGGCAAGAAAACCCUGAUAUUUCUUUCAGUAGGGACCUUUUAGGACCUCGACUGACAUCUUGGAAUGAGUCACUCAUACGUCUGGAGGCUAUUCAGUUGUCAGAUGUACCGGACAUCUUUCGAUGGAAGUUGCAUCAGAAUGGCAAGUUUACAGUCAAAUCCAUGUAUGAUGCAAUGGUUCAUUAUGAUGUUCCGGUUGAUAACAGGAAAUUGUGGAAGCUUAAAAUCCCUCUAAGAGUGAAGAUAUUCCUCUAG
This 519-nucleotide ribosomal RNA is filed under the name Triticum aestivum (bread wheat). Its description in RNAcentral is "partial small subunit ribosomal RNA". The record is from RNAcentral. Lineage: Eukaryota; Viridiplantae; Streptophyta; Magnoliopsida; Poales; Poaceae.